RNAcentral lists this ribosomal RNA (460 nucleotides) under uncultured bacterium. RNAcentral's name for it is "partial 16S ribosomal RNA". It matches the Rfam family "Bacterial small subunit ribosomal RNA", at positions 338 to 795 of the family's 1533-position model. The record is from RNAcentral.
CCUACGGGUGGCAGCAGUGAGGAAUAUUCGUCAAUGAGCGCGAGCCUGAACCAGCCACGUAGCGUGAAGGAUGACUGCCCUAGGAGUUGUAAACUUCUUUUAUAGAGGAAUACAGUUAGUCACGUGUGCCUUUUUAUAUGUACUUUAUGAAUAAGGAUCGGCUAACUCCGUUCCAUCCGCCGCGGUACUACGGAAGAUCCGACCCUUAUCCGGAUUUAUUGGGUUUAAAGGGAGCGUAGGUGGGUUUUUAAGUCAGUUGUGGAAGUUUGGGGCUCAACCGUAAAAUUGCACUUGAUACUGGCAGUCUUGAGUACAGUUGAGGUAGGCGGAAUUCGUGGUGUAGCGGUGAAAUGCGUAGAUAUAACGAAGAACGCCGAAGGCGAAGGCAGCUUACUAAACUGCCACUGACAUUGAUGCUCGAAAGUGUGGGUAGCAAACAGGAUUAGAUACCCGGGUAGUC